Vulpes vulpes (red fox) is the source of this 136-nucleotide ribosomal RNA. Lineage: Eukaryota; Metazoa; Chordata; Mammalia; Carnivora; Canidae. The record is from Ensembl.
GUCUACAGCCAUACCACCUUGAACAUACCCAAUCUUGUCGGAUCUGGGAAGCUAAGCAGGGUUGGACCUGGUUUGUACUUGGAUGAGAGAAGUCUCUACACCAAGUUUUCAUUUAUCUUUUCAAGAGCUCUACAAU